CCCCUUCGGAUGCCUUGUCCCCCAGAUAGAAGUAUUCAUCUGAGUGGCUCAAAAAGAAGGAAAAGUAAAACUGAAGUGGACUUGUACUCUUUAAUACCUUACAGACUCAUUUCAAACAUAG
RNAcentral lists this small nucleolar RNA (121 nucleotides) under Echinops telfairi (small Madagascar hedgehog). RNAcentral describes it as "Small nucleolar RNA SNORA61 (ENSETEG00000025217.1)". Lineage: Eukaryota; Metazoa; Chordata; Mammalia; Afrosoricida; Tenrecidae. The record is from RNAcentral.